Molecule: ribosomal RNA, 255 nt
Filed under: uncultured bacterium
Lineage: Bacteria
Description: partial 16S ribosomal RNA
Rfam family: Bacterial small subunit ribosomal RNA
Source: RNAcentral
UACGGAGGGUGCGAGCGUUGUCCGGAAUCAUUGGGCGUAAAGGGCGCGUAGGUGGCCCGGUCAGUUCGUGGUGAAAGCGCGGGGCUCAACCCUGCGUCGGCCAUGAAUACUGCCGCGGCUGGAGCACUGUAGAGGCAGGCGGAAUUCCGGGUGUAGCGGUGGAAUGCGUAGAGAUCCGGAAGAACACCGGUGGCGAAGGCGACAUCCUGGACCGGUAUUGACGCUGAGGCGCGAAAGCCAGGGGAGCAAAGCGGG